AACAAGGAAAUAGCUUAUCUUGUUGAUUUUAUCGGAAAACUAGAAAGGAAAAAUAGUUUAGAAAUGGCGUCUGUGCAGCGGCAAGCGAGUUCGGGAUCUGAGACUACUGACCCGCGAUAUGCGUCGAUCGUGGAUGAAAGGAAGAGGAAGAGGAUGAUAUCCAACCGGGAAUCAGCCAGGCGGUCGAGGAUGAGGAAGCAGAAGCAGAUGGAGGAUCUGAUUCAUGAGGCGAGCGUCCUGCAAAGCGAUAACAGAAGAAUCAUGGAGAAGAUUAACGCCACCACCCA
Molecule: long non-coding RNA, 287 nt
Filed under: Carica papaya (papaya)
Lineage: Eukaryota; Viridiplantae; Streptophyta; Magnoliopsida; Brassicales; Caricaceae
Description: long non-coding RNA (CPAP_LNC011286)
Source: RNAcentral